Molecule: ribosomal RNA, 500 nt
Filed under: uncultured bacterium
Lineage: Bacteria
Description: bacterial SSU rRNA
Rfam family: Bacterial small subunit ribosomal RNA
Source: RNAcentral
GGCUCAGGAUGAACGCUAGCUACAGGGCUUAACACAUGCAAGUCGAGGGGAAACGACAUCGAAAGCUUGCUUUUGAUGGGCGUCGACCGGCGCACGGGUGAGUAACGCGUAUCCAACCUGCCCAUCACUUGGGGAUAACCUUGCGAAAGUAAGACUAAUACCCAAUGAUAUCUCUAGAAGACAUCUGAAGGAGAUUAAAGAUUUAUCGGUGAUGGAUGGGGAUGCGUCUGAUUAGCUUGUUGGCGGGGUAACGGCCCACCAAGGCAACGAUCAGUAGGGGUUCUGAGAGGAAGGUCCCCCACAUUGGAACUGAGACACGGUCCAAACUCCUACGGGAGGCAGCAGUGAGGAAUAUUGGUCAAUGGACGAGAGUCUGAACCAGCCAAGUAGCGUGCAGGAUGACGGCCCUAUGGGUUGUAAACUGCUUUUAUAAGGGAAUAAAGUGAGCCUCGUGAGGCUUUUUGCAUGUACCUUAUGAAUAAGGACCGGCUAAUUCCGUG